This 397-nucleotide small RNA is filed under the name Histoplasma ohiense. RNAcentral describes it as "hypothetical lncRNA". Lineage: Eukaryota; Fungi; Ascomycota; Eurotiomycetes; Onygenales; Ajellomycetaceae. The record is from RNAcentral.
GCUUUUCGGCCUCCCGGUGUCAGUUUGUUUACUUUGCAAUCUCCUUCUGCAUCUGGGAAAUUUUGCAGCAACAUGUUGAAUCAGCCUUUGUGCUGUGGACUCUGGUUGCUGCAGGGCUUGCAUGUAUUGUUACUUACUAUUCCUGCUCAAUUGCUAACGUGCAGCUUGCUGUGCCCACUCUGAGAGCUUUGCUUAUUUGUGUGCUAUUUCAGGCAAUCUUGUGUUGCCUCAGCUUUAUAUGUUUCACAGUGAUCUCAUCUCUCUCGGGAUUUAAUACUAGCCUAGUCAUGUCUUCUUUGUUUCUUGUCGUUUUUACUAUCUAUCAGCAUGCAUACAUAUAUGGUGUAUAUAUACGUCUACUCCCCCAAAAAUGAUAAGCAAGCUUCAUUCACCACAC